GUCGAACGGGGUUAUCAUUUUUGAAGCGAUUAGCUUGCUAAGAGCCGUUAAGUUGAUAACUUAGUGGCGGACGGGUGAGUAACGCCUGGGUAACCUGCCUUACACAGGGGGAUAACACUUAGAAAUAGGUGCUAAUACCGCAUAAGCGCACAGUCCCGCAUGGGACAGAGUGAAAAACAUUAGUGGUGUAAGAUGGACCCGCGUCUGAUUAGCUUGUUGGCGGGGUAACGGCCCACCAAGGCGACGAUCAGUAGCCGGCCUGAGAGGGUGGACGGCCACAUUGGGACUGAGACACGGCCCAAACUCCUACGGGAGGCAGCAGUGGGGGAUAUUGGACAAUGGGGGAAACCCUGAUCCAGCGACGCCGCGUGAGUGAAGAAGUGUUUCGGUAUGUAAAGCUCUAUCAGCAGGGAAGAAAGAAAUGACGGUACCUGAGUAAGAAGCCCCGGCUAACUACGUGCCAGCAGCCGCGGUAAUACGUAGGGGGCAAGCGUUAUCCGGAAUUACUGGGUGUAAAGGGAGCGUAGACGGUAAUGCAAGUCUGGAGUGAAAGGCGGGGGCCCAACCCCCGGACUGCUCUGGAAACUGUGUAACUGGAGUGCAGGAGAGGCAGGCGGAAUUCCUAGUGUAGCGGUGAAAUGCGUAGAUAUUAGGAGGAACACCAGUGGCGAAGGCGGCCUGCUGGACUGUAACUGACGUU
RNAcentral lists this ribosomal RNA (700 nucleotides) under uncultured bacterium. RNAcentral describes it as "bacterial SSU rRNA". It matches the Rfam family "Bacterial small subunit ribosomal RNA", at positions 1 to 747 of the family's 1533-position model. The record is from RNAcentral.